GAUGAACGCUAGCGGCAGGCUUAAUACAUGCAAGUCGAGGGGCAGCACAGAUAGCAAUAUUGGGUGGCGACCGGCAAACGGGUGCGGAACACGUACACAACCUUCCUUUUAGUGUGGGAUAGCCCAGAGAAAGUUGGAUUAAUACCACAUAGUAUAUUGGAGUGGCAUCACUUUGAUAUUAAAGAUUUAUCGCUAAAAGAUGGGUGUGCGUAUGAUUAGGUAGUUGGUAGAGGUAACGGCUCACCAAGCCUUCGAUCAUUAACUGGUGUGAGAGCACGACCAGUCACACGGGCACUGAGACACGGGCCCGACUCCUACGGGAGGCAGCAGUAAGGAAUAUUGGUCAAUGGACGGAAGUCUGAACCAGCCAUGCCGCGUGAAGGAUGACGGCCCUCUGGGUUGUAAACUUCUUUUAUGUGGGACGAAAAAGGGCCAUUUUUGGUCAACUGACGGUACCAUAGGAAUAAGCACCGGCUAACUCCGUGCCAGCAGCCGCCGUAA
Molecule: ribosomal RNA, 501 nt
Filed under: uncultured bacterium
Lineage: Bacteria
Description: partial 16S ribosomal RNA
Rfam family: Bacterial small subunit ribosomal RNA
Source: RNAcentral